AGAAUUUGAACCACUAAUGGGCAAAGCUGUGGUACACAUGAAUAAUUGAUAUCUAACCUUAGAUUCUGAGUGGAGAAAUCAUCUGCCAGAUUUGUGGUCAGUUUACUGUACUCUUCUAUGAAAACAGGUUCGUAAUGGAACCUUUGCAGUGUGGAAGCAACUUAAUUGAUCCUGAGUAUCAGCGAGUUGAGUCUGGAUUUGGGAAGAAAAGAGCAAUAAGAAGAAUACAGACUUGUGAACUAAAUGUUUAAAAGUGCGGAAUUGUGGUGACAACCAAAGUUUCAUGACAGCACAUUACAUUUCCUUCAAGACAUGACAUUUUUAAAAAAGUCUUAAUUCAUAUAAGACUAUAUUUUUUUAAUUUUUCAGGGAUCUGGUAUCCAGAUUGAACUAAGAAAAAAGUAAAAUGUUGCCUUAUGGAGAAGGCAUCUGUGCAGUGAGAAACAGAGAUUUCAUCCUGUACAAAACUCUCUCAGGCUGAAAUAUUGAGCAAAAAGUUUUCUAAAAGGCACACAUUUAAUCCUGGUUUAAGGAAAAGACCAUUAAAGACAGAAUAUUAGAAACAAAAUCCCCAUGGUAAUGCAUGCAAAUAUUCACAAUACAAAUCUCUGAAAUGCAAAAAGAAUAAUAUGAUUUCAAUACAUGGUUGAAAAUUAAUUUAUAUUCUAAGCAGCUCUGAGUGUAUCAGUUAUAUUUGAACAAUGAAAUUCAAGUGAAUCAUGUAGAAAUUAGAGUUAAUACUUGGUAUGGAUUCUAUUUCAUUUGUGUACUCUCUGUAAGCAAUGUAAUUACAUAAAAAAAGAGAUGGUUCAUCAUUAAGAAAUGACUUUUCCAUCUGGGCCUAUGAAUUAUUUUACUAGAAAGUAAUAAUAAUUUCUUGCUAAUGCAUAUAUCAAUUACUGCCAUAACAUAAUAAUAGCAAUGGUAAAUAUUAAAUAUUUAUUUUUUAUAUAUAUUUUGCUCAUAUAAAAUGACUCAGACUGGAGAUUUCAAGAGAUAGAGAGGAGUUUCUCAAAUCAGAUAACAGGUAGUGUAAUGUCACCUUGAACCAUAUAAAAAUACUUUUUUUUAAUAGGUUAUAGGCCCAGGGGCGUCGGGGUGACUCGGUCGGCUAAACAUCUAACUUUAGCUCAUGAUCUCACAGCUUGUAAGUUGGAGCCCCACAUCAGGCUCUGUGCUGACAGCUCAGAGCCUGAAGCCUGCUUCAGAUUCUGUGUCCCCUUCUCUCUCUGCCUCUCCCCUGCUCAUGCUCUGUCUCUCUCUCCUUCAAAAACAAAUAAACAUUAA
This is a long non-coding RNA of Neofelis nebulosa (Clouded leopard), 1287 nucleotides long. RefSeq lists it as uncharacterized. The transcript has 3 exons. Lineage: Eukaryota; Metazoa; Chordata; Mammalia; Carnivora; Felidae. The record is from RefSeq and is a predicted model, not a curated record.